Molecule: ribosomal RNA, 274 nt
Filed under: uncultured bacterium
Lineage: Bacteria
Description: partial 16S ribosomal RNA
Rfam family: Bacterial small subunit ribosomal RNA
Source: RNAcentral
AUACGGAGGGUGCAAGCGUUGUCCGGAUUUAUUGGGUUUAAAGGGUGCGUAGGUGGCGUGUUAAGUCAGUGGUGAAAGCCUGCAGCUCAACUGUAGAGGUGCCAUUGAUACUGACAUGCUUGAGUAUGGACGAGGUAGGCGGAAUUUGUGGUGUAGCGGUGAAAUGCAUAGAUACCACAAAGAACACCGAUAGCGAAGGCAGCUUACUGGACCAUAACUGACACUGAGGCACGAAAGUGUGGGUAGCGAACAGGAUUAGAAACCCUAGUAGUCC